This 482-nucleotide ribosomal RNA is filed under the name uncultured bacterium. Its description in RNAcentral is "bacterial SSU rRNA". It matches the Rfam family "Bacterial small subunit ribosomal RNA", at positions 96 to 562 of the family's 1533-position model. The record is from RNAcentral.
UGGCCCUUGGGUGAGUAACACGUGGGUAACCUGCCCUUAAGCGGGGGAUAACAUCCGGAAACGGGUGCUAAUACCGCAUAGUUUCCCUCUCCACAUGGAGGGGGAAGGAAAGACGGCCUUUGUGCUGUCGCUUAGGGAUGGACCCGCGGCGUAUUAGUUAGUUGGUAGGGUAACGGCCUACCAAGGCGAUGAUACGUAGCCGACCUGAGAGGGUGAUCGGCCACAUUGGGACUGAGACACGGCCCAAACUCCUACGGGAGGCAGCAGUAGGGAAUCUUCCGCAAUGGACGAAAGUCUGACGGAGCAACGCCGCGUGAGUGAAGAAGGUUUUCGGAUCGUAAAACUCUGUUGUCGGAGAAGAACAAGCAGGAAAGGAACUGUUCCUGCCUUGACGGUACCCGACCAGAAAGCCACGGCUAACUACGUGCCAGCAGCCGCGGUAAUACGUAGGUGGCAAGCGUUGUCCGGAUUUAUUGGGCGUA